UGUAUCGGCCGGGAAUCGAACCCAUGGCAGGCGAGCAUUCUACCACUGAACCACCGUUGGUUAUC
Molecule: non-coding RNA, 65 nt
Organism: Cordylochernes scorpioides
Lineage: Eukaryota; Metazoa; Arthropoda; Arachnida; Pseudoscorpiones; Chernetidae
Source: the annotation of a GenBank genome assembly